GAUGAAGAACGCAGCGAAAUGCGAUAAGUAAUGUGAAUUGCAGAAUUCAGUGAAUCAUCGAAUCUUUGAACGCACAUUGCGCCCGCCAGUAUUCUGGCGGGCAUGCCUGUCUGAGCGUCAUUUCAACCCUCAUGCCCCUAGGGCGUGGUGUUGGGGAUCGGCCAAAGCCCGCGAGGGACGGCCGGCCCCUAAAUCUAGUGGCGGACCCGUCGUGGCCUCCUCUGCGAAGUAGUGAUAUUCCGCAUCGGAGAGCGAUGAGCCCCUGCCGUUAAACCCCCAACUUUCCAAGGUUGACCUCAGAUCAGGUAGGAAUACCCGCUGAACUUAAGCAGAUCAAUAAGCGGAGGA
This 348-nucleotide unclassified non-coding RNA is filed under the name soil metagenome. RNAcentral describes it as "partial contains 5.8S ribosomal RNA, internal transcribed spacer 2, and large subunit ribosomal RNA". The stretch from base 1 to 120 matches the Rfam family "5.8S ribosomal RNA", at positions 35 to 154 of the family's 154-position model. The record is from RNAcentral.